CGGAGAAAAUAACGAGCGAUCAGUAAGAAAGAAUAGCUAGAUACACGCACGAACUAAUAGCGACGUAACGUCCCGCUAUUGUGAGACAGGGAUUGGCCUAGCGUGUAAUCAUCGGUAUGUGCGAUCUACUGCAGAUAGUGAACUAAUGGGCAUUUCGAGAAAGGCUUGUUCGGGACUUGGCAGAUCUUUCCCGAAGGUCUCGAAUGCCGAUAACGAUCGAGGAGGGGUCGUUACAGGAGAGGAAAGCGAAAGGCUUGGGUAGUGAGUGAUUCAAGAGUAAUUGAAGGAAUAUCAAGUGGGUUUCAAGAU
Theobroma cacao (cacao) is the source of this 309-nucleotide non-coding RNA. NCBI's taxonomy places the organism in Eukaryota, Viridiplantae, Streptophyta, Magnoliopsida, Malvales, Malvaceae. The record is from RefSeq and is a predicted model, not a curated record.